UGGGGAAUAUUGCACAAUGGAGGGAACUCUGAUGCAGCGACGCCGCGUGAACGAAGAAGGCUUUCGAGUCGUAAAGUUCUUUUAUAUGGGAAGAUAAUGACGGUACCAUAAGAAAAAGCCCCGGCUAACUACGUGCCAGCAGCCGCGGUAAUACGUAGGGGGCUAGCGUUGUCCGGAAUCACUGGGCGUAAAGGGUUCGCAGGCGGAAAUGCAAGUCAGGUGUAAAAGGCAGUAGCUUAACUACUGUAAUCAUUUGAAACUGCAUAUCUUGAGAAGAGUAGAGGUAAGUGGAAUUUUUAGUGUAGCGGUGAAAUGCGUAGAUAUUAAAAAGAAUACCGGUGGCGAAGGCGACUUACUGGGCUCAUUCUGACGCUGAGGAACGAAAGCGUGGGUAGCAAACAGG
This 403-nucleotide ribosomal RNA is filed under the name Fusobacteriota bacterium. Its description in RNAcentral is "Fusobacteria bacterium partial 16S ribosomal RNA". It matches the Rfam family "Bacterial small subunit ribosomal RNA", at positions 355 to 776 of the family's 1533-position model. The record is from RNAcentral. Lineage: Bacteria; Fusobacteriati; Fusobacteriota.